GCGAGAAGAUGAGCGCGCGCCGUUGGCGCCUCCUGUUGAGGCGCGGCGUGAGGAGUGCGGGCGGGCCGGGCGACGAAGGAAAGGGGAGGCGGUACAAAAUUGCCCGUGUGCUCGAAUCUCUGCUUAGACUGCUGCUACAAAACUCUCCAAGAGAAGGAGGUAGUGGGCACAGUUCAAAGGAGACUGGAGGAUGUCUUUCACUCUAACCUAGUGAUGUACAGUUACUCGAGAUUGGGUUAUUUCAUGUGAUAAUGGCUCAAGACAUUUCCUGCUCUCACCUGAGGUCCCUGCUCAGUUUUAAAGUCAAAUGGGUUUCCAACCACCCUGGACUUGGCCUUCUCAACACUCCUCUCCACGAACUCAUUAUAUAUAUCUUCUUGAACGUAUGUUCGGGAUCCUGCAC
Molecule: long non-coding RNA, 403 nt
Organism: Gallus gallus (chicken)
Lineage: Eukaryota; Metazoa; Chordata; Aves; Galliformes; Phasianidae
Exons: 2
Source: RefSeq, a predicted model, not a curated record